AUGCCUGACCUACGCCGGCGGGUCGCUGGCCAUGGCGUGCGCGCUCGGCGGCGGCGACUAAAUUUGUCCGGCAGCAUGCACCAUGCAUGCCCUGGCCACGCCAACAGCUUCAGCUAUGUCAACGACAUCGUUCUCGCCAUCAACCAACUCCUCGCCCGCUUCCGGCGCGUGCUGCACAUGGACAUCGACGCGCACCAUGGGGACACAGCCCAACCUUGGUGCUCGUGUUGCCGGUGUGGACGCGGGCGCUGCCGCCGAUAG
This 261-nucleotide ribosomal RNA is filed under the name Triticum aestivum (bread wheat). Its description in RNAcentral is "partial small subunit ribosomal RNA". The record is from RNAcentral. Lineage: Eukaryota; Viridiplantae; Streptophyta; Magnoliopsida; Poales; Poaceae.